AGUCACUGACAUUAGAUACCCCGGUAGUCCCAGCCGUAAACUAUGCGCGUUAGGUGUACUGGUGACCACGAGUCGACCGGGGUGCCGAAGGGAAACCGUGAAACGUGCCGCCUGGGAAGUACGGUCGCAAGGCUGAAACUUAAAGGAAUUGGCGGGGGAGCACCGCAACGGGAGGAGCGUGCGGUUUAAUUGGAUUCAACACCGUAAAACUCACCAGGGAAGACUGUUACAUGAAAGCCGAGAUGAAGACUCUGCUAGAUUUUCAG
Molecule: ribosomal RNA, 266 nt
Filed under: uncultured archaeon
Lineage: Archaea
Description: partial 16S ribosomal RNA
Rfam family: Archaeal small subunit ribosomal RNA
Source: RNAcentral